GACGAACGCUGGCGGCGUGCUUAACACAUGCAAGUCGAGCGGUAAGGCCCGUUUCGGGGUACACGAGCGGCGAACGGGUGAGUAACACGUGGGUGACCUGCCCUCAGCUCUGGGAUAAGCCGUGGGAAACCGGGUCUAAUACUGGAUAUGACUCCAUGACGCAUGUUGGUGGGGUGGAAAGCCUUGUGCGGCUGAGGAUGGGCCCGCGGCCUAUCAGCUUGUUGGUGGGGUGANGGCCUACCAAGGCGACGACGGGUAGCCGGCCUGAGAGGGCGACCGGCCACACUGGGACUGAGACACGGCCCAGACU
RNAcentral lists this ribosomal RNA (310 nucleotides) under uncultured bacterium. Its description in RNAcentral is "bacterial SSU rRNA". It matches the Rfam family "Bacterial small subunit ribosomal RNA", at positions 28 to 337 of the family's 1533-position model. The record is from RNAcentral.